This is a long non-coding RNA of Arabidopsis thaliana (thale cress), 347 nucleotides long. RefSeq annotates it as other RNA. The transcript has a single exon. NCBI's taxonomy places the organism in Eukaryota, Viridiplantae, Streptophyta, Magnoliopsida, Brassicales, Brassicaceae. The record is from RefSeq.
CAGCAGAAACAAUCACACUAUCAGUAGUAUCUAGAGUGGGUUUUCAAGACAUUCAAUGACCGCAGUUUAAGAAAGCAAGCAAACCAAAAGAGUAGAUAGCACGAGAGAAUCUCUGAGAUGGAGAUCUUUGUCAAUAGAAAAGCUAAGAAGAAAGCCCAGCUCCUCCUGGUCCUGGGCUGUCACCUAAAUCACCUAUAUAUGAAGCGUACGUACUUGUCGAAACCGUGACAUGCCUUGUAUGUGUUAGGCAUGCCACCUUCCUUCUUCUUCUGAUGCCGUCCUCUAAAUUCAGUCCGAUCUGAAAUUAUCCAAAUCAGAGAGAUAUGAGUUUCCAUAAACAAAAUUAG